This 245-nucleotide ribosomal RNA is filed under the name uncultured bacterium. RNAcentral describes it as "partial 16S ribosomal RNA". It matches the Rfam family "Bacterial small subunit ribosomal RNA", at positions 333 to 579 of the family's 1533-position model. The record is from RNAcentral.
CGGGGCCUACGGGAGGCAGCAGUGGGGAAUAUUGCACAAUGGGGGGAACCCUGAUGCAGCGACGCCGCGUGGGUGAAGGAGCACCUCGGUGCGUAAAGCCCUAUCGGCAGGGAAGAAAAGCGAACAGGUUCGCCUGGACGGUACCUGACUAAGAAGCCCCGGCUAACUACGUGCCAGCAGCCGCGGGAAUACGUAGGGGGCAAGCGUUAUCCGGAUUCACUGGGUGUAAAGGGAGCGGAGACGGC